AGCUUCAUGCUAAGGUGCAUUUAGUGCAGAUAGUGGAGUAAAUACACCUACUGCUCUAAGUGCUCCUUCAGGCACGAAGG
This is a microRNA precursor of Astyanax mexicanus (Mexican tetra), 80 nucleotides long. It matches the Rfam family "mir-17 microRNA precursor family". From Rfam's summary of the family: This family represents the microRNA (miRNA) precursor mir-17, family, which includes mir-20, mir-91, and mir-103. miRNAs are transcribed as ~70nt precursors (modelled here) and subsequently processed by the Dicer enzyme to give a ~22nt product. In this case the mature sequence comes from the 3' arm of the precursor. NCBI's taxonomy places the organism in Eukaryota, Metazoa, Chordata, Actinopteri, Characiformes, Acestrorhamphidae. The record is from Rfam.